This 229-nucleotide ribosomal RNA is filed under the name uncultured bacterium. Its description in RNAcentral is "partial 16S ribosomal RNA". It matches the Rfam family "Bacterial small subunit ribosomal RNA", at positions 118 to 341 of the family's 1533-position model. The record is from RNAcentral.
UGGAUAACCUGCCUCGAUGACCGGGACAACCCGAGGAAACCCGGGCUAAUACCGGAUGUGCUCCUUCACAUCAGUGAAGACAGGAAAGGAAGCUUCGGCCUCCGCAUCGAGAUGGGCCCGCGGCCCAUUAGCUUGUUGGUGAGGUAACGGCUCACCAAGGCUGCGAUGGGUAGCUGAUCUGAGAGGACGAUCAGCCACACGUGGGACUGAGACACGGCCCAGACCUCCG